RNAcentral lists this ribosomal RNA (460 nucleotides) under uncultured bacterium. RNAcentral describes it as "partial 16S ribosomal RNA". It matches the Rfam family "Bacterial small subunit ribosomal RNA", at positions 338 to 795 of the family's 1533-position model. The record is from RNAcentral.
CCUACGAGAGUCAGCAGUGAGGAAUAUUGGUCAAUGGGCGCGCGCCUGAACCAGCCAAGUAGCGUGAAGGAUGACUGCCCUACGGGUUGUAAACUUCUUUUAUAAAGGAAUAAAGUGAGUCACGUGUGCCUUUUUUUAUGGACUUUAUGAAUAAGGAUCGGCUAACUCAGUGCCAGCAGCCGCGGUAAUACGGAGGAUCCGAGCGUUAUCCGGAUUUAUUGGGUUGAAAGGGCGCGUAGAUGGGUUGUUAAGUCAGUUGUGAAAGUUUGCGGCUCAACCGUAAAAUUGCAAUUUAUACUGGCAGUCUUGAGUACAGUUGAGGUAUGCGGAAUUCGUGGUGUAGCGGUGAAAUGCUUAGAUAUCACGAAGAACUCCGAUUGCGAAGGCAGCUUACUAAACUGCCACUGACAUUGAUGCUCGAAAGUGUGGGUAUCAAACAGGAUUAGAUACCCCUGUAGUA